CCGCUUGCGCGAAUGCACUAGCGAGGCCGUUCUUGACGCCCCCUCCUCCUGUCCUCAUGAGGCAGGCCACGCACGCACAUGUAGCACCACCGUCGGUCUGACCGCACAGGUGGUUGAGAUCCGUGCUAGCCACUACAGACCUCGUCACAACAACCACCCGCUCUGCUGCUUCGCUAGAGAGUAGCCGACCUCUGGCGGCGGGCUCGUGGCCAACGACCGCUCCCCAUCAGCUGAGGACAUGAGGGAGGCGCCGACGGUGUCCGGUGGCGUUGUCCUCGACCGCCUGCCGCUCCCUAGCCACCAGCCUGUCGAUGGGGCCCGCCGCAUCGCCUCCACCUCUAGUCUCGUGGCUCGACUGGUGAUUUGAAUCUUUGACUAGAAAGCCAUGUCUCAGAAUAGUAGGAGUUGGAUGCGCAUGCACUUCACGACAAAUGAGUGGCAAACAAAUUUCAAAAAGUUCAUACAAACUACAUUUGGUGGCACUACUAGAGGAGAAACUGCACCAUGUCCAUGUUCAAGAUGUCGAUGCAUGUCCUACAAAACACAAUCUCAGGUUCAGAGUCACUUGGUUAUUAGAGGGUUUGAUGAGAGCUUCAUCGAAGAAGGAAACCAAGCAAACGAUUCAGAUGAGGGCAAUGCUGCAACAGUUGUCAAUGAUGAUGAAACAGGUGACAGUGGUUCUGUGACCGAACUAGUUUCAACGCUAAUCAGUGGUGCUAUACAUGAAGACAUCAUAGGAAAUAUUAAUGAAGAGCCAAAUGCAAAAGCAAAGGCAUUCUUUAAUCUAUUAACAGAGGCAAAGAAGGAAUUGUAUCCAGGUUGCAAGGAGGUCACUAAGGUAUCUUUUAUAGUAAGGCUCUUUCAGAUUAAAUGCAUGUUUGGUCUUAGUAAAAGUGCAUUAGCGGUUGUACUUCAGUUGUUCCGGCUUGUUCUCCCAGAAGGCCACUGUGUUACGGACACAUUGGAUACAUCUUGUUGCCACGAGUCACUUGUGUGGCACUAGUGUUUUGUUGCCAUGAAGCAUCUUGUGGUAACAAAGCCAUUUGCAACAGAUUCAAACGUGGCAUUAACACUUAUUACCAUGAAAUAUGUUGUGGCAAUAUAGUUUUUGGCAACUAUUAUAAAUGUUGCAAUAUAACUUAUUUGCAACAUAAUAGUCCAUUGUAACAACAAACAGUUACAACACUUGAACACGUUGCAAAGGAUAUAGUAAUUGCAACAUAACGUAAAAAUGUUGCUAUAACCUAUUGCCACUCUAUUUUUUGCAACAGCAGGCAACAACAGUUGUUUUAUCGCAAUUGGUGCCUAUUGCAAUGAUUUAUAGUCUAUCGCCACGAUUUUUGCCCAUUGCAAGAAGGUGAUUUUUUAGUAGUGAGGGUCAGGAUCUGCCUGUUUGAUUACUAUGAGUGGUCGAUCAGUGCCCAAUUGCCCCAUGUGGAUGGGAGGAGCAAACGUGGAGCAAUGGUGGCAGUGGCUAAGUGAUUGAGAUCUACGGGGUGAUUGCAAAGGCCCUUCCAAAGGAAGAAACACGUGAGGAUGGGAGUGUUGGUGCACAGAAGUUUCGUGUUAAGUUGCUGCCAGAAGAUUCAACGAACCUACUGAUGUGCUUUGUCAUGUACAAUAGCGAUAAGGCUGAUGAAAUUAUGCAUCAUAGGCAAAAUUUGUUUGAAGAUUGGGAGGUCUUGAUUAUAUUAUCCUAGGGUUCACUACUUUUCAGUGGGAAUUCCUAUAAUUCGUUGAAUCCACAUUAGUAUUUGUUGUUUAUAAAUUAUUAUAACAAAUAAAAGCAAUUAUCAUUUUGGUACCUGAAGUGUCUUGAUGUUUGUGUUGCAGAUUGGUCUAGAUGGAAUUUGCAUGCUUGAUCUGAGUAUAGACAGAACCCUAAGAAUUUUUUUGCUCGAUUCACUGACAAGAUGGAGGAGGGUUGGGCAAUUUGUUCUUAUGAAGAUGAUAUUUGUAUCUUUGUAGAACAUAUUCACUAUAGUUUUAUAUUAAUGUUUAUUUGCACUGCUUAUUUAGGUUUUGGAUGCAACUAUAUUUGCAUUCUGGGUGACGAUAUUAGUGGAUAUUGAACCAAAGAGAAUUAGGUUGAAGUCAAGCACUUAUACUUCAAAUACUAUGCUUGACAAUGUUAUGUAGGUAUUGCAGCAACACUGUUUUGUCCUUUCCCUUAUAGUAUUUAGCAUAAUAUUUUUCUACUAAAAAGAAAAAUGCUUCUCUGACGAUGCCUUAGUUUCUUUGUGUGUGUGUUGCUUCUGGUCUUAUUUGUCUUUGCCUUUGCUUCAUAUCUAAACUAAUCUAUGAUGAUGCCUUAGUUACUUCGUGUGUGUGUUUCUUCUGGUCUUAUUUGUCUUUGUCUUUGCUUCACAUCUAAUAAACUAAUCUGUAACGAGAAGCUAGCCAGCUGCAACCUGCUUCAUGGGUGACCGGAUGACGGGUCCUUAGCGGCUCGGUGUCACUGUGUCAACAAGUCAGCAAUGAGCUGGCGAGCGACUGCCCAGCGAGCGCCCUCCCUAAUCUGUAGCUCCCCCACCCGACACAGGCACACAGUCCCCACUCCUAAGCUUCAAGGUAAUAUUCUAAUAUUUAAUUUUGUAACCUUCAAUUCCUUGUACUAUUGUUAUUUGUAAAUAUGUUAUCUGUAGAUGUACUAUGCAAGCUUCAAUAUUUGUAUGUGUAGGUUAGGCUCACGUCUGUUGCUUGUUAGAGUGGUGUCCAUUCAUUCUUUGGACUUUGGAGUGGUGUUCAUUCAUUAUUUGUUUGGAGUGGUGUUCAUUCAUUAUUUGGCAUGAGAGGGUGUCAAAUUGUCAAUGACUUCCAAUCUGUCAUUGUCGUGCGUGCGUUGUGGUUGCCACUUUUUUGCAAAAAAUUCUCUUUCGUCAUUGUCCGUGCAUGUGUUGUGUUUCACUGCUUCCUUGGUUGUUAUUAGGUUUCUUACAAUUCUAGCUUAUUUGUAUACAAACAUAUGUGAGCCUAAACUACACAUACAAGAAAUAGAUGUUACUGCUGGAAUGCUUUAAAAGAAUGUUGCCUAUACAGCUGUCGGGCAUGUUUAUUAUGAACUUUCGAGCCACCUCAGUUUUAAUGAAUGGUAAGUUACUAAGUUUGUAACUUCAUGAGUUCUUAACAAAAACGAUAUCUGUCUUUGUAGAGUUGUCUGUAGAUGCUCUUGCAUGUUUGCAAUUUGUGUGCUAGCAUCAUGUGUUGAGCAUAUCGAUUAAGCAUUAUUGGAAAGUCGAUGGUCGUAGUGGGCUCUAAAUGAUUGCAUUCCUUUAUGUUUUUCUUUAUUUUCUACAAGUUCAUGGAUCUCUAUCUAUUGAAAUUUCAAAUCAUCACCCCAAUAUGCGUAUCAUACGUAGAAAAUUGCAUUGCUACUUGGGCAAUGGAUUUCUGAGGUGUGAUUUCUCUGAUAUGAUAUGAUUUCAGAAAAUCAUAUGUGAUAUAGUUUACUCUCGGCACAACAUCUAGGCUUAGUGGUUUAAUCUAUAUUUGGGAUCCAACAUGGAUUGCUGCAGGAUAAUGACAUAGCUGUUGGAGUAUGUUCUACCUCUGCAAUUUCUUGGCAUUAUGAGUGCAUAACUGUACACACUUGUUUUAAUUGUUUGUUCAUUAUGUUCAACUUUCAACUAGCAACAUUCUCUUCUCGGUGUUAUCUUUUCCAAGAAUCUUGCUUUUCAGAACUAGAUUUGUUUGAGUGUCUUCCUACAUGUUGGACGAUGAGUUCCAAGUUGAUAGAAGGCAUCCAAGAAUUUGAUCAGAAGGUUUGUAUCUCAAAAGCAGAAUUCCUAUUCUUAGAUUGCAGUAGCACCUGUUCAAACAAUACUGAUUUGGAGAAAAUUCAUCCCACUGUCGAUCGACUUAGUAGACAAGAAUGACAAUUACAAUAGUUUCUCAAAUUAUGUGUAACUGUAACUACUACGUAGAUGUAGCCAAACAUUAUUUGAUGAUUACUCAGCUGAUCACUUAAUGAUACCUAUUUUGUAGAUAUGAUUUGAGAGGAGUUUGGAUAAUCUAAAAGAACCUAUACAUCUAGCAUUCAAAGUCAUGUUUGGAUUUUCAGAAUGCCCUUAUAUCCAUGUAUACAAUUGUUCAUUGUUUGUCCUUUUUAUCUGUAAUUUCUCUUGUAUCAUUACAAACAGACAGUAUCAAUACUGAUUCGUAAAUAAUGUGUUGCCAUCCACAGACCACAUGUUUGAUCCUGACAGUGAUUUUAGUUUUUACUGUUGACCUCCCAUAGUUCCUGACUUCCUGACAUCGACCACUGUAUUUUUAGUUGAUUGACUAGCCUGAGGGUGGAUACUUGACUGUUGAUUUACCAAUGCCUCAGGGAGAAGUUGUAAUUGGGGGUCCAAAUGUAACUAAAGGCUAUUUCAAGAAUAAAUCUAAAACAAAUGAUGAUUGUGAGCCCAUAUAUGGAGAACAUUAUGAUCAAUAUUGAUCCUUUCCACAAUUACUGUGUUGUGCUUGUGGUAGUUGCACAAAUUGAGCUGCAAAGCUGGGCUUUCCAGCAAGGAAUUAAAACAACAAUUUCUCAUAUUUGUGGUAGAAGCAAGAGGUUGUUAAAGAAGUGCUCUUUAGCAAAGGUUUGUGUUUUAUGUUCACCCAUCAACAUCUGUUUUCUUUAUUGUGUUGGAUCACCACAUGUUUAUAGCUAACUCCAUGCUUAUUAGAAGCGGAUUUGUACCAAAGAAAAGGGUUUAGCAUCCAUUGAUCUUUUACUCAUCCAUGCUUUUGAUUUUUCUAGAAAUGUAUAGUUUUGGCUUGAUUCACUGUUACACCUGGUCUACUAGAAGUAUUUUUUUCUAAUUUUAGUAGCAAUAUAAAUAUGCCAAUAGGAAAAUAUUUUUCUAGGUGUCAUUUGCUCGUACUUUGCUAUGGUUUGUAGUUAAUGGUACUUUUGGCACUUUCCAUAAACAAAGGGUAGCUUUUUAUUCUAGACGAGAUUAUUGUUCUCUUAAAUAAUCCAGUCAUUCUUGCCUACCAGAGUCCCUUUACUUCAAAAUAUAGGGAAACAGAAGUCCUUCAUUGGCUCUUCUCAUCUUAGCUCACAUGCAGUACAUGAAUACCAAUUUCUUCCUAAGCAGCCAAGUGAUACAUAUGAGAGGGGAAGCCAGUUGCGCUUCUAUGAUGCUCUAGCAGAAGUGUCAAACUCGAAGGUUGAUCCGCUAAAUCCACGGUAAAAAAUUGGCACCCCUCAAGUUGUCGGAUUUGAAAGCUCCCUCGCAUCCCCUAAAAGAUUAGGUUAUCAUGAUGAAGAUACAUGUCACAUGGACAGAAAACACAAGAACUAUAUUUAUGAAUAUAAUAUUUUUCUUCUUCUUUUGUAUUAUUAUAUUCAUAAUUUUUUACUUUUGUAUUAUUAUUUGUUGAUAUAUGUCGUAUUUGUCUAAUGUUACUUCAGCAUAAUGAGGAAGUAAGAUUGCAGAGGAGGUUGAGUCUCAUGAAAAGAUAAUUAAAAAGGAGCUUGAGAGUUGAGAAGCAAGAUCUACAAAACAGAAAGAAAGAGGAACAAAUGUAGAGGGAAAUGGUGAUACAUGAUCACGAGAGAUGUAAGGAAGAGGAUAGGUUGAUGCGUGAAAGGCAAAGGAAAGAAGAAAAAUUCCAGUAGGAACAAAGACAUAUACUUAUAUAACUAUUACAAUAGAUAAAAAAUGUUACAAUGUCUCUCUUCCUUAGAACUAAAUUGGGAUAUCAUUCAUUGACAUAGGUUUGGUUUUAUUUAACAAUUAUUAUAUAAUUGUGCAUCGUCGCA
Zea mays is the source of this 5752-nucleotide long non-coding RNA. RefSeq lists it as uncharacterized. The record is from RefSeq and is a predicted model, not a curated record. The transcript is spliced from 3 exons. NCBI's taxonomy places the organism in Eukaryota, Viridiplantae, Streptophyta, Magnoliopsida, Poales, Poaceae.